GGUGGUACUGAUGUGGAUAAUGGAAACACCUGUUCCCAUUCCGAAUACAGUAGUUAAGCAUUAUCCAGUCGAUGAUACUGGUCGGCUUCCGGCUGGGAAAGUAGAUGAGUGCUACCA
This 117-nucleotide ribosomal RNA is filed under the name bacterium. The record is from RNAcentral.